Molecule: long non-coding RNA, 286 nt
Organism: Frieseomelitta varia
Lineage: Eukaryota; Metazoa; Arthropoda; Insecta; Hymenoptera; Apidae
Exons: 3
Source: RefSeq, a predicted model, not a curated record
CGAAACUAUACUGCGCGUUCCACUACAUAUGACAAGCAAACGUUACAUAAAUACCAUGCAUCUACUACACAAUUAUAUGCAUUCAAAGGAAUAGAAUAUGCAAGAUUGUCCGUCACCUCCAUUAAAGUGUCACAUUCUUUGAUCAAAGCAUAUAGGCAAGGAAUCGUGCAAACGAAAGCCAAAGACAUAUUGCACUCAAACUAAACCGAUUCAAUUUUACUGCCCAUUCGUAGUCUAUGGAUAUAUUAAGAGAGCAACGAAAUUAAUUAAGAUUAGCAAUAAGCAA